This 497-nucleotide ribosomal RNA is filed under the name uncultured bacterium. RNAcentral's name for it is "partial 16S ribosomal RNA". It matches the Rfam family "Bacterial small subunit ribosomal RNA", at positions 28 to 507 of the family's 1533-position model. The record is from RNAcentral.
GACGAACGCUGGCGGCGUGCCUAAUACAUGCAAGUGGAACGCUGAAGAGAGGAGCUUGCUCUUCUUGGAUGAGUUGCGAACGGGUGAGUAACGCGUAGGUAACCUGCCUUGUAGCGGGGGAUAACUAUCGGAAACGAUAGCUAAUACCGCAUAACAAUGGAUGACACAUGUCAUUUAUUUGAAAGGGGCAAUUGCUCCACUACAAGAUGGACCUGCGUUGUAUUAGCUAGUAGGUGAGGUAAUGGCUCACCUAGGCGACGAUACAUAGCCGACCUGAGAGGGUGAUCGGCCACACUGGGACUGAGACACGGCCCAGACUCCUACGGGAGGCAGCAGUAGGGAAUCUUCGGCGAUGGGGGCAACCCUGACCGAGCAACGCCGCGUGAGUGAAGAAGGUUUUCGGAUCGUAAAGCUCUGUUGUAAGUCAAGAACGGGUGUGAGAGUGGAAAGUUCACACUGUGACGGUAGCUUACCAGAAAGGGACGGCUAACUACGUG